AAGCGGGUGAAAAGCCCGCUCGCCGGAAGACCAAGGGUUCCUGUCCAACGUUAAUCGGGGCAGGGUGAGUCGACCCCUAAGGCGAGGCCGAAAGGCGUAGUCGAUGGGAAACAGGUUAAUAUUCCUGUACUUGGUGUUACUGCGAAGGGGGGACGGAGAAGGCUAUGUC
This 169-nucleotide ribosomal RNA is filed under the name Cronobacter sakazakii 701. RNAcentral's name for it is "Large Subunit Ribosomal RNA; lsuRNA; LSU rRNA". It matches the Rfam family "Bacterial large subunit ribosomal RNA", at positions 1315 to 1488 of the family's 2925-position model. Lineage: Bacteria; Pseudomonadati; Pseudomonadota; Gammaproteobacteria; Enterobacterales; Enterobacteriaceae. The record is from RNAcentral.